Molecule: non-coding RNA, 73 nt
Organism: Radiomyces spectabilis
Lineage: Eukaryota; Fungi; Mucoromycota; Mucoromycetes; Mucorales; Radiomycetaceae
Source: the annotation of a RefSeq genome assembly
GCCCAAGUGGCGAAAUGGAUAUCGCAUCCCCCUCCUAAGGGGAAGAUUGCGGGUUCGAGUCCCGUCUUGGGUA